AUUGUUCUUCAACGAGGCAAUCCCUAGUAAGCACAAGUCAUCAGCUUGUGCUGAUUACGUCCCUGCCCUUUGUACACACCGCCUGUCGCUACUACCGAUUGAAUGGCUUAGUGAGGCCUUCGGAUUGAGAUUCGGAGUUUGGCAACAGACCCUGGGUUUUAAAAAGUUGGUCAAACUUGGUCAUUUAGAGGAAGUAAAAGUCGUUGCCGUUACGGAUCUGUGCCUGUUACCCUUGAG
This 237-nucleotide ribosomal RNA is filed under the name uncultured Rhizophagus. RNAcentral's name for it is "partial 18S ribosomal RNA". It matches the Rfam family "Eukaryotic small subunit ribosomal RNA", at positions 1592 to 1831 of the family's 1831-position model. Lineage: Eukaryota; Fungi; Glomeromycota; Glomeromycetes; Glomerales; Glomeraceae. The record is from RNAcentral.